GACAGCGUGGCGUAGUGUUUUGUGCUUUGGACUAUGACUCUAAAGGCUAAGGUUUGAAUCCCAGCUCAGCCA
This is a non-coding RNA of Phrynosoma platyrhinos (Desert horned lizard), 72 nucleotides long. The record is from the annotation of a GenBank genome assembly. Lineage: Eukaryota; Metazoa; Chordata; Lepidosauria; Squamata; Phrynosomatidae.